This 1576-nucleotide ribosomal RNA is filed under the name Salmonella enterica subsp. enterica serovar Rissen. Its description in RNAcentral is "bacterial LSU rRNA". It matches the Rfam family "Bacterial large subunit ribosomal RNA", at positions 1253 to 2812 of the family's 2925-position model. The record is from RNAcentral. RNAcentral also lists the same sequence under 1 other name. Lineage: Bacteria; Pseudomonadati; Pseudomonadota; Gammaproteobacteria; Enterobacterales; Enterobacteriaceae.
AAGGUGGCCUGUGAGGGUUGCUGGAGGUAUCAGAAGUGCGAAUGCUGACAUAAGUAACGAUAAAGCGGGUGAAAAGCCCGCUCGCCGGAAGACCAAGGGUUCCUGUCCAACGUUAAUCGGGGCAGGGUGAGUCGACCCCUAAGGCGAGGCCGAAAGGCGUAGUCGAUGGGAAACGGGUUAAUAUUCCCGUACUUGGUGUUACUGCGAAGGGGGGACGGAGAAGGCUAUGUUGGCCGGGCGACGGUUGUCCCGGUUUAAGCGUGUAGGUGUGUGUUCCAGGUAAAUCCGGUUCACUUUAACACUGAGGCGUGACGACGAGGCACUACGGUGCUGAAGCAACAAAUGCCCUGCUUCCAGGAAAAGCCUCUAAGCAUCAGGUAACAUCAAAUCGUACCCCAAACCGACACAGGUGGUCAGGUAGAGAAUACCAAGGCGCUUGAGAGAACUCGGGUGAAGGAACUAGGCAAAAUGGUGCCGUAACUUCGGGAGAAGGCACGCUGACACGUAGGUGAAGUGAUUUACUCACGGAGCUGAAGUCAGUCGAAGAUACCAGCUGGCUGCAACUGUUUAUUAAAAACACAGCACUGUGCAAACACGAAAGUGGACGUAUACGGUGUGACGCCUGCCCGGUGCCGGAAGGUUAAUUGAUGGGGUCAGCGCAAGCGAAGCUCCUGAUCGAAGCCCCGGUAAACGGCGGCCGUAACUAUAACGGUCCUAAGGUAGCGAAAUUCCUUGUCGGGUAAGUUCCGACCUGCACGAAUGGCGUAAUGAUGGCCAGGCUGUCUCCACCCGAGACUCAGUGAAAUUGAACUCGCUGUGAAGAUGCAGUGUACCCGCGGCAAGACGGAAAGACCCCGUGAACCUUUACUAUAGCUUGACACUGAACAUUGAGCCUUGAUGUGUAGGAUAGGUGGGAGGCUUUGAAGUGUGGACGCCAGUCUGCAUGGAGCCGACCUUGAAAUACCACCCUUUAAUGUUUGAUGUUCUAACGUGGACCCGUAAUCCGGGUUGCGGACAGUGUCUGGUGGGUAGUUUGACUGGGGCGGUCUCCUCCUAAAGAGUAACGGAGGAGCACGAAGGUUGGCUAAUCCUGGUCGGACAUCAGGAGGUUAGUGCAAUGGCAUAAGCCAGCUUGACUGCGAGCGUGACGGCGCGAGCAGGUGCGAAAGCAGGUCAUAGUGAUCCGGUGGUUCUGAAUGGAAGGGCCAUCGCUCAACGGAUAAAAGGUACUCCGGGGAUAACAGGCUGAUACCGCCCAAGAGUUCAUAUCGACGGCGGUGUUUGGCACCUCGAUGUCGGCUCAUCACAUCCUGGGGCUGAAGUAGGUCCCAAGGGUAUGGCUGUUCGCCAUUUAAAGUGGUACGCGAGCUGGGUUUAGAACGUCGUGAGACAGUUCGGUCCCUAUCUGCCGUGGGCGCUGGAGAACUGAGGGGGGCUGCUCCUAGUACGAGAGGACCGGAGUGGACGCAUCACUGGUGUUCGGGUUGUCAUGCCAAUGGCACUGCCCGGUAGCUAAAUGCGGAAGAGAUAAGUGCUGAAAGCAUCUAAGCACGAAACUUGCCCCGAGAUGAGUUCU